CCCUUAGAUGUUCUGGGCCGCACGCGCGCUACACUGAUGCAUUCAACGAGCCUAUCCUUGACCGACAGGUCCGGGUAAUCUUUGAAUCUGCAUCGUGACGGGGAUAGAUUAUUGCAAUUAUUAAUCUUGAACGAGGAAUUCCUAGUAAACGCAAGUCAUCAGCUUGCAUUGAUUACGUCCCUGCCCUUUGUACACACCGCCCGUCGCACCUACCGAUUGAAUGACUCGGUGAAAAAUUGGGACUGUGAUUGAAAUUGCUUCAUUGCGAAUUUAAUCAUGGAAACUUUCUUUAACCUAGGCAUUUAGAGGAAGGUGAAGUCGUAACA
RNAcentral lists this ribosomal RNA (326 nucleotides) under uncultured eukaryote. RNAcentral's name for it is "partial 18S ribosomal RNA". It matches the Rfam family "Eukaryotic small subunit ribosomal RNA", at positions 1470 to 1796 of the family's 1831-position model. The record is from RNAcentral.